CAUAUGGGUUCUCAUGGCAAAUAGAGAUAACCACAAGAUACAACUACCUGAAAUUGGUGGUGACCCUUCUGUGAGUCUCUAAAUACAUUGAGUUUCAUCAUUUUUGGGUCUCGCUUUAUGCAUAUAAAUUUGAAAAGCUUGCUUUGGUUUUUCCUUCUUCGCAAUUCCAAAACUUAGUAAAACUUUUCAAAAGAAUAUAAUAUUUUAUUGUCAACUUAAGCUAUUAUCUAUGUUGUGACAUACUAUGCUUUGAAUGGAUACAACUUUUACCACCACUAUAUUAAAAGAUUAAGGCGGAAUAAUUAUGCCUCGUUAUGUAUACUCAUUGUUCAAUCAUUGGAGGCUUUUGAAGCUAUCAUGCCUCACAACAAAACAGCAAAAAUACCUUGUCCAUUGUUUCAGAUUCAAAUAUGAUUAAGUCAAUCUAACCCAGCUGAUCUUUUCAAUACAGGUGAUAUGUCAGACCAGGAUCUGAAGUUAAUCUGGAUUCUCUUGUACAAGAUGCUAUCAGGCUAAACUCCACAGUAAAAGGUGUGUUCAUUAGAAUUUCAAAUCAUUAAAAGUUCUUAUUUUAAAAACUUUAAUUUCUUUUUUCACGUAUUAAUUUGCAGGAUACUUGCUCUGAGUUGUGCGAGAAAUCUGAGGGUACAAUACUAUUUUCAAGUGGACAAAGUCAGGCCUAUGUUGAUAAAAAGUGGUUUUCUAGAUUACUGGAACUGAAGAAAAAAAAAAAAGAAAACUCACGAUUUAUACAGCAUGGAAAUUAGAAGUUCCUUGUACAUAGUCAAUUUGCAAAUAGAUUGUAUGUAUAAGUAAUGACUCAUCAACAAAAUAAUAUCACACAUUUACUUAAAUUUUGCAUAUUUUCAUACUUACAGAAGGUGAAUAUCAUACUCUAAAUCCUUACACUUAGCCAUGAACAUUCUACUCUGAGUCAUUGUAGUAAGUCAGCAUACUUAAGACUGAAAUUAACUUCAUAUAAUCCAAAUACUACAUUUCAAAUGGCACUCAAGUUUAUGCUAUAGGAACUUUUAUCCAAGGAGGAGAUAUUAUUGGUUUGCUCUCUUCAUAUAAAAAAUGUUAAUAACUUCAAAUUCUCAAUCAUUGUCAUUACCA
Arachis ipaensis is the source of this 1116-nucleotide non-coding RNA. The record is from RefSeq and is a predicted model, not a curated record. Lineage: Eukaryota; Viridiplantae; Streptophyta; Magnoliopsida; Fabales; Fabaceae.